CGGAAAUUACUCCCUCUCUCCCUCCUUCCUUAAAUAUUUCUUUUUACGAUCAUAUUCUUGCAAUAAAUACAUCUUCUUGAUCAUCAAUUCUCAUUCACCACAUCAAAGAACUCUCCCAAAUAUCUGUUUUUUUAUGACUUGUUGAAGGAUAUAUAGGAGAAGAAUGUGUGCACAAAACUCAGAUUUCAUCAGGUCAUCUCAUCCUAUUUAUUCAACUGUUCCAAGGCGACGACGAGUACCCAACAGAUUAAAUAGGUAAGCUUUUUCAAUAUACAUCCCCAUGCAAAUGAGCAAUCAGUAAUAAUUAUAUGGAACAGGAGGUGGAGAAUAAUGUCAAAGGAGGCAGUAAAAAGGGCUAAGCUGAGGAAGAUGAAGGUACAAAUGGCAAUGGAUAACUUGAAGCUUUACAUAAGGAACAAGACCAUUAUUGAAGAGAAUCAAAGGCUGAGAAAGAAAACACUUGUUCUUCAUCAAGAGAACAAAGCCUUGAUGUCUCAACUCCUCCUCAAACUUUAUCAUUAAUCUUAGGACCCUAUAUUAUUUAUAAUUCCGUUCUUAGACUUUAAUCUUUUUCUUAGCGAAGUUCUCAUAAUUAAAAUGAAUAAAUAAAAAGUUAAAUUUUUGCUCUUUAUUAUAUAUGGUAUUGGAAUCACCCUUUGUUAUCAUAUCAUAUGGAGAGACAUAAGUAAACAAGUCAAUAUACAAUCUUUAGCCUCGUGUAUGAAUUAAAAUAACUAAUUAUGGGAUGCUGUAUA
RNAcentral lists this long non-coding RNA (755 nucleotides) under Olea europaea subsp. europaea. Lineage: Eukaryota; Viridiplantae; Streptophyta; Magnoliopsida; Lamiales; Oleaceae. The record is from RNAcentral.